This 301-nucleotide ribosomal RNA is filed under the name uncultured bacterium. RNAcentral describes it as "partial 16S ribosomal RNA". It matches the Rfam family "Bacterial small subunit ribosomal RNA", at positions 509 to 807 of the family's 1533-position model. The record is from RNAcentral.
CAGUCGCCGCGGUAAAACGUAGGGUGCAAGCGUUGUCCGGAAUCAUUGGGCGUAAAGCGCGCGUAGGUGGUCAUGUAAGUCCGCUGUGAAAGUCAAAGGCUCAACCUUUGAAAGCCGGUGGAUACUGCAUGACUAGAGUACGGAAGAGGCGAGUGGAAUUCCUGGUGUAGCGGUGGAAUGCGCAGAUAUCAGGAGGAACACCAAUAGCGAAGGCAGCUCGCUGGGACGUUACUGACACUGAGGCGCGAAAGCGUGGGGAGCGAACAGGAUUAGAUACCCCAGUAGUCCCUGUCUCUUAUAC